RNAcentral lists this ribosomal RNA (497 nucleotides) under uncultured bacterium. RNAcentral describes it as "partial 16S ribosomal RNA". It matches the Rfam family "Bacterial small subunit ribosomal RNA", at positions 28 to 507 of the family's 1533-position model. The record is from RNAcentral.
GAUGAACGCUGGCGGCGUGCCUAAUACAUGCAAGUCGAGCGAACAGACGAGGAGCUUGCUCCUCUGACGUUAGCGGCGGACGGGUGAGUAACACGUGGAUAACCUACCUAUAAGACUGGGAUAACUUCGGGAAACCGGAGCUAAUACCGGAUAAUAUAUUGAACCGCAUGGUUCAAUAGUGAAAGACGGUUUUGCUGUCACUUAUAGAUGGAUCCGCGCCGCAUUAGCUAGUUGGUAAGGUAACGGCUUACCAAGGCAACGAUGCGUAGCCGACCUGAGAGGGUGAUCGGCCACACUGGAACUGAGACACGGUCCAGACUCCUACGGGAGGCCGCAGUAGGGAAUCUUACGCAAUGGGCGAAAGCCUGACGGAGCAACGCCGCGUGAGUGAUGAAGGUCUUCGGAUCGUAAAACUCUGUUAUUAGGGAAGAACAAAUGUGUAAGUAACUAUGCACGUCUUGACGGUACCUAAUCAGAAAGCCACGGCUAACUACGUG